CAGUCGCCGCGGGAAUACGAAGGGUGCAAGCGUUACUCGGAAUUACUGGGCGUAAGGCGUGUGUAGGUGGUUGUUUAAGUCUGUCGUGAAAGCCCUGGGCUCAACCUGGGAAUUGCGAUGGAUACUGGGCGACUAGAGUGCGGUAGAGGAUAGUGGAAUUUCCGGUGUAGCAGUGAAAUGCGUAGAGAUCGGAAGGAACAUCUGUGGCGAAGGCGACUAUCUGGGCCAACACUGACACUGAGACACGAAAGCGUGGGGAGCAAACAGGAUUAGAUACCCCUGUAGUCCCUGUCUCUUAUAC
RNAcentral lists this ribosomal RNA (301 nucleotides) under uncultured bacterium. Its description in RNAcentral is "partial 16S ribosomal RNA". It matches the Rfam family "Bacterial small subunit ribosomal RNA", at positions 509 to 807 of the family's 1533-position model. The record is from RNAcentral.